CUCAGAUUGAACGCUGGCGGCAGGCCUAACACAUGCAAGUCGAACGGUAACAGGAAGCAGCUUGCUGCUUCGCUGACGAGUGGCGGACGGGUGAGUAAUGUCUGGGAAACUGCCUGAUGGAGGGGGAUAACUACUGGAAACGGUGGCUAAUACCGCAUAACGUCGCAAGACCAAAGAGGGGGACCUUCGGGCCUCUUGCCAUCAGAUGUGCCCAGAUGGGAUUAGCUWGUUGGUGAGGUAACGGCUCACCAAGGCGACGAUCCCUAGCUGGUCUGAGAGGAUGACCAGCCACACUGGAACUGAGACACGGUCCAGACUCCUACGGGAGGCAGCAGUGGGGAAUAUUGCACAAUGGGCGCAAGCCUGAUGCAGCCAUGCCGCGUGUAUGAAGAAGGCCUUCGGGUUGUAAAGUACUUUCAGCGGGGAGGAAGGUGUUGUGGUUAAUAACCGCAGCAAUUGACGUUACCCGCAGAAGAAGCACCGGCUAAC
RNAcentral lists this ribosomal RNA (489 nucleotides) under Salmonella enterica subsp. enterica serovar Muenchen. RNAcentral describes it as "bacterial SSU rRNA". It matches the Rfam family "Bacterial small subunit ribosomal RNA", at positions 23 to 501 of the family's 1533-position model. The record is from RNAcentral. Lineage: Bacteria; Pseudomonadati; Pseudomonadota; Gammaproteobacteria; Enterobacterales; Enterobacteriaceae.